AUGUUUAUUGAGACAAGAAAGAAAUACAUCUGAAAGGGAUAGAAUAGCUUAGGCUAUUUCUACCCUCCUAAUAAUAAGGUAUUACAUGCAUUUAAUGUAAUAAUUUGUCUCAUUUC
This is a non-coding RNA of Procambarus clarkii (red swamp crayfish), 116 nucleotides long. NCBI's taxonomy places the organism in Eukaryota, Metazoa, Arthropoda, Malacostraca, Decapoda, Cambaridae. The record is from RefSeq and is a predicted model, not a curated record.